UGGGGAAUAUUGGGCAAUGGGGGAAACCCUGACCCAGCAACGCCGCGUGAAGGAAGAAGGUUUUCGGAUUGUAAACUUCUGUCUUUGGGGAAGAAAAAAAUGACGGUACCCAAAGAGGAAGCCCCGGCUAACUACGUGCCAGCAGCCGCGGUAAUACGUAGGGGGCGAGCGUUGUCCGGAAUGACUGGGCGUAAAGGGCGCGUAGGCGGCGCUAUAAGUUUGGAGUGAAAGUCCCGCUUUCAAGGUGGGAAUUGCUUUGAAUACUGUAGUGCUUGAGUGCAGAAGAGGUAAGUGGAACUCCCAGUGUAGCGGUGAAAUGCGUAGAGAUUGGGAAGAACACCAGUGGCGAAGGCGACUUACUGGGCUGUAACUGACGCUGAGGCGCGAGAGCGUGGGGAGCAAACA
This 405-nucleotide ribosomal RNA is filed under the name uncultured Eubacteriales bacterium. Its description in RNAcentral is "uncultured Clostridiales bacterium partial 16S ribosomal RNA". It matches the Rfam family "Bacterial small subunit ribosomal RNA", at positions 355 to 774 of the family's 1533-position model. Lineage: Bacteria; Bacillati; Bacillota; Clostridia; Eubacteriales. The record is from RNAcentral.